CAUAAAGCCCCCCGCUUACACCGGGAAAAUGUCUGUUUAAAUCAGACCGCUUUGA
This 55-nucleotide transfer RNA is filed under the name Amolops spinapectoralis. RNAcentral's name for it is "tRNA-Val". Lineage: Eukaryota; Metazoa; Chordata; Amphibia; Anura; Ranidae. The record is from RNAcentral.